AGUUUGAUCCUGGCUCAGGAUGAACGCUAGCUACAGGCUUAACACAUGCAAGUCGAGGGGCAGCAUGGUCUUAGCUUGCUAAGACUGAUGGCGACCGGCGCACGGGUGAGUAACACGUAUCCAACCUGCCGUCUACUCUUGGACAGCCUUCUGAAAGGAAGAUUAAUACAAGAUGGCAUCAUGAGUCCGCAUGUUCACAUGAUUAAAGGUAUUCCGGUAGACGAUGGGGAUGCGUUCCAUUAGAUAGUAGGCGGGGUAACGGCCCACCUAGUCUUCGAUGGAUAGGGGUUCUGAGAGGAAGGUCCCCCACAUUGGAACUGAGACACGGUCCAAACUCCUACGGGAGGCAGCAGUGAGGAAUAUUGGUCAAUGGGCGAGAGCCUGAACCAGCCAAGUAGCGUGAAGGAUGACUGCCCUAUGGGUUGUAAACUUCUUUUAUAAAGGAAUAAAGUCGGGUAUGCAUACCCGUUUGCAUGUACUUUAUGAAUAAGGAUCGGCUAACUCCGUGCCAGCAGCCGCGGUAAUACGGAGGAUCCGAGCGUUAUCCGGAUUUAUUGGGUUUAAAGGGAGCGUAGAUGGAUGUUUAAGUCAGUUGUGAAAGUUUGCGGCUCAACCGUAAAAUUGCAGUUGAUACUGGAUAUCUUGAGUGCAGUUGAGGCAGGCGGAAUUCGUGGUGUAGCGGUGAAAUGCUUAGAUAUCACGAAGAACUCCGAUUGCGAAGGCAGCCUGCUAAGCUGCAACUGACAUUGAGGCUCGAAAGUGUGGGUAUCAAACAGGAUUAGAUACCCUGGUAGUCCACACGGUAAACGAUGAAUACUCGCUGUUUGCGAUAUACGGCAAGCGGCCAAGCGAAAGCGUUAAGUAUUCCACCUGGGGAGUACGCCGGCAACGGUGAAACUCAAAGGAAUUGACGGGGGCCCGCACAAGCGGAGGAACAUGUGGUUUAAUUCGAUGAUACGCGAGGAACCUUACCCGGGCUUAAAUUGCAGAUGAGUUACGGUGAAAGCCGUAAGCCGCAAGGCAUCUGUGAAGGUGCUGCAUGGUUGUCGUCAGCUCGUGCCGUGAGGUGUCGGCUUAAGUGCCAUAACGAGCGCAACCCUUGUUGUCAGUUACUAACAGGUCAUGCUGAGGACUCUGACAAGACUGCCAUCGUAAGAUGUGAGGAAGGUGG
Molecule: ribosomal RNA, 1171 nt
Filed under: uncultured Bacteroides sp.
Lineage: Bacteria; Pseudomonadati; Bacteroidota; Bacteroidia; Bacteroidales; Bacteroidaceae
Description: bacterial SSU rRNA
Rfam family: Bacterial small subunit ribosomal RNA
Source: RNAcentral